RNAcentral lists this ribosomal RNA (1741 nucleotides) under Bacteroidota bacterium. RNAcentral's name for it is "SSU rRNA". It matches the Rfam family "Eukaryotic small subunit ribosomal RNA". The record is from RNAcentral. Lineage: Bacteria; Pseudomonadati; Bacteroidota.
GUAGUAAUCUGGUUGAUCCUGCCAGUAGUCAUAUGCUUGUCUCAAAGAUUAAGCCAUGCAUGUGUAAGUAUAAGUAUUAUACGGCGAAACUGCGAAUGGCUCAUUACAUCAGUUAUAAUUUACUUGAUAAUCGAAAGUUACAUGGAUAACCGUGACAAAUUACAGCUAAUACAUGCAGUCAGACCUGGUCCAAGGGUCGUAAUUAUUAGUACCAAACCAUUUCCGAAAGGAGUGUGAUGAUUCAUAGUAAUCGAACGAAUCGCAGGUAUAUGCGAUAAGUCAUUCAAGUUUCUGCCCUAUCAGCUUUGGAUGGUAGUGUAUUGGACUACCAUGGCAGUCACGGGUAACGGAGAAUUAGGGUUCGAUUCCGGAGAGGGAGCCUGAGAAACGGCUACCACAUCUACGGAAGGCAGCAGGCGCGCAAAUUGCCCAAUCCCGACACGGGGAGGCAGUGACAAGAAAUAACAACUCUAGGAUUUCUUAGAAGUGUAAUGAGGAUAAUUUACAAACCUUACCGAAUGCAAUUGGAGGGCAAGUCUGGUGCCAGCAGCCGCGGUAAUUCCAGCUCCACGAGCAUGUACGUAAGUUGUUGCAGUUAAAAAGCUCGUAGUUGAAAUUCUGGUUGUUUUGGUCCUAAGCCUUGUUGUAAAGGUACCAGCAGUCAUCCGCUUGCAAACAUAUGUUCGAUCUUCACCGGUUGGCUAUGUGAGUAAGCAAUUUACCUUGAGAAAAACAGAGUGUUCCAGGCAGGUUUGUCCGGAAUGCAUUAGCAUGGAAUAAUAGAACAUGACUGAAGUCUAUUUAUUGGUUUAAGGCUUUAGUAAUGAUUAAUAGGAACAGUCGGGGGCAUUCGUACUCAGCAGUCAGAGGUGAAAUUCUAAGAUUUGCUGAAGACGAACUAAUGCGAAAGCAUUUGCCAAGGAUGUUUUCAUUAAUCAAGAACGAAAGUUAGGGGAUCAAAGACGAUCAGAUACCGUCCUAGUCUUAACUAUAAACUAUACCGACUCGGAUUCAGAUGAAUAUUAAAGUUCAUUUGGGACCGUAGGAGAAAUCAAAGUCUUUGGGUUCUGGGGGAGUAUGGUCGCAAGGCUGAAACUUAAAGGAAUUGACGGUUUUGCACCACCAUGGAGUGGAGUCUGCGGCUUAAUUUGACUCAACACUGGGAAACUCAUCAGGGCAAGAAGAUUUUAGGAUUGACAGAUUGAGAGUUCUUUCUUGAUUGGUCUAGUGGUGGUGCAUGGCCGUUCUUAGUUGGUGGAGUGAUUUGUCUGGUUAAUUCCGUUAACGAACGAGACCUUAACCUGCUAACUAGUACCCUGAUCCUCAAUCGGGGUUACUUCUUAGAGGGACUAUGUGAUGUAAUCACAUGGAAGUUUGAGGCAAUAACAGGUCUGUGAUGCCCUUAUAUGUCCUGGGCUGCACGCGUGCUACAAUGGCACUUUCAACAAGUAUUUCCUGACCCGAAAGGAUUUGGGUAAUCUUUUUAGUGAGUGCCGUGCUUGGGAUAGAUCUUUGUAAUUGUGGAUCUUGAACGAGGAAUUCCUAGUAAGCGCAAGUCAUCAUCUCGUGCUGAUUACGUCCCUGCAAAAUGUACACACCGCCCGUCGCUUUUACCGAUUGAGUGUUCAGGUGAGCCUUCUUGAUAGUUUCAACUAAAAAUUAAACAAACCUUAGCACUUAGAGGAAAAAGAAGUCGUAACAAGGUUUCCGUAGGUGAACCUGCGGAAGGAUCAUUCAUAAU